GCGUGGGGCGGAAACGACACUAACAAUCCUUCGGGUGCGUUAUUGGGCGUCGAGCGGCGGACGGGUGAGUAAUGCCUAGGAAAUUGCCUUGAUGUGGGGGAUAACCAUUGGAAACGAUGGCUAAUACCGCAUAAUGCCUACGGGCCAAAGAGGGGGACCUUCGGGCCUCUCGCGUCAAGAUAUGCCUAGGUGGGAUUAGCUAGUUGGUGAGGUAAUGGCUCACCAAGGCGACGAUCCCUAGCUGGUCUGAGAGGAUGAUCAGCCACACUGGAACUGAGACACGGUCCAGACUCCUACGGGAGGCAGCAGUGGGGAAUAUUGCACAAUGGGCGAAAGCCUGAUGCAGCCAUGCCGCGUGUAUGAAGAAGGCCUUCGGGUUGUAAAGUACUUUCAGUUGUGAGGAAGGGUGUGUAGUUAAUAGCUGCGCAUCUUGACGUUAGCAACAGAAGAAGCACCGGCUAACUCCGUGCCAGCAGC
This 477-nucleotide ribosomal RNA is filed under the name uncultured Vibrio sp. RNAcentral's name for it is "bacterial SSU rRNA". It matches the Rfam family "Bacterial small subunit ribosomal RNA", at positions 35 to 515 of the family's 1533-position model. Lineage: Bacteria; Pseudomonadati; Pseudomonadota; Gammaproteobacteria; Vibrionales; Vibrionaceae. The record is from RNAcentral.